This is a long non-coding RNA of Brienomyrus brachyistius, 4201 nucleotides long. RefSeq lists it as uncharacterized. Lineage: Eukaryota; Metazoa; Chordata; Actinopteri; Osteoglossiformes; Mormyridae. The transcript has 3 exons. The record is from RefSeq and is a predicted model, not a curated record.
UCUCCCAUACCUGUCUCUCUCUGUCUCCCAUACCUGUCUCUCUCUUUCUCCUCCAUCCCUGUCUCUCUCUGUCUCCCAUCCCUGUCUCUCUCUGUCUCCCAUCCCUGUCUCUCUCUUUCUCCUCCAUCCCUGUCUCUCUCUGUCUCCCAUGCCUGUCUCUCUCUGUCUCCCAUCCCUGUCUCUCUCUUUCUCCUCCAUCCCUGUCUCUCUCUGUCUCCCAUACCUGUCUCUCUCUGUCUCCCAUCCCUGUCUCUCUCUGUCUCCCAUACCUGUCUCUCUCUGUCUCCCAUCCCUGUCUCUCUCUUUCUCCUCUAUCCCUGUCUCUCUCUGUCUCCUAUCGUUGACUCUCUCUGCCAACCACCCACCUCUCUCUCUUCGCUGUCCCCAUCCCCUUCUCUCCCUCUCUCUCCCCACCCUAUCUCUCUAUCUCGUUCCUCUUCUUUCUUCACUGUUCCCUGUCUUUUUCUCCACCAUUACUGUCUUUCCUCAUUUCCAUCUCCCCCACCCUCUCUCUCUUCUCGUCCUCGUCCUCUAGUUAGCCUCCCUUUUCUCUUUACUCUCCCCAUUUUUCCAUUUCUAGCUGCCUCGCUUCCUCACCAUUACUCAUCAGUCUUUGCCUCUUUUCCCUCAAGUUCUCUUUGUCCUCCUUCUGGAGCCUCACUGGCUACACCUCGUUCCUGUGUGUGGACCAGGCACUAUUGCUUGCAGUAAAGUUCCUCAUUUUUAUCAAAGAUCAACAGUCUUUGACGUUGAUGUGAUAACUUGGUACAUUUACUUUUCAUUGCAUUAAAUGUUGCAUUUCCAGCACCUGCAUUUCAUGCCUGAAGUUCUGCUAUGGUUAUCUGGCGAUGACUUGUUGCGUGUUCAUUGCCUAUUGGGUUUGCGCUGACACAAAAUGGCGUGUUGUGGAAAUAUAGUCCUUUUAGUGCCCCUCUUAACAAUAUUGCAUCCACAGUAAACUGCUGUCCAUAGGAAUGCGGCGUCGUGAUGAGUGCUGAAUAACCCCUCAUCAUUCCUGCAUGCGUGUCGCUGUAAUAACCUGCAGGGCUGCAGUAGAGAUACAGCGACUGUCAGCCGUAGGAGGCUGCUGCUGGCCCCCAGUCCCUCUGGAGUUUGCUGCUCUGUCUCUUUAAGAAACCCCUUUCUGGCUCACUAAAACAUAGCAUGCGAGUUAAAGCUGCGACUUCCCAUUCUUAUUCAGGACGAUUCAUUAGAAGCACAGGAUCGCUACUUUUAUUAAGCUAUUUCAAUGAUAUUUAACAGAUAUUUUGGUCGAAGAGGUGAAAUCACAGCUUUCAUCGCUGUUUUUACAUUCAGAGAGUUUCGCAGUAUUAAGUUCUGCUUUAAACCAUCGUUUUGCUUAUUGCUCUUGCUGCUGUUGGUUCUGCUUUUACCGUUUUUACCUGAAUAACAGUAUCUUUCAUCAUUUAAUUAGAAGAAUUAAAGGAAAUAUUGCAUAUUUUCUUCUCCUAAUUGACUGUCCUGUUCAUCAGUAGCCCACAACUAUUUUCUAAAAUUGUGCAGCGUGCAAGAAUACUAGUGCAGGCUAUCCCAGUUUUUUCACUAUGUUUACAGAGGGACAUAAAUGGGGUUCUGAAGCUUUUUUACAAAUCCACUGGCAUUCAUAUUCUCUUCAUAUAUUUUUUUAUUUCUACAGUACAGAAAUUUGAGACCCACAUCUAAUCAUCUUCACUGCAGACUGGAGUUUUCCUGGGGUUAUCUGGCCGGAUAGAGAAAAUAAAAAUGGGUGAAUGGGCUAUAAAUGGACAAGGAGAAGGAGAGAGUUUGUUAUUUCUGAGAAUAAUCGAGCAAUUAGACUGUAUUAUUGGUGGCUCAUUGAGGUGGUUGUAUCUGUGGGAUGUACUGAGCUGUUAGGCUCUUCCAUUGGUGGCUCAUUGAGGUGGUUGUAUCUGUGGGAUGUACUGAGCUGUUAGGCUCUUCCGUUGGUGGCUCAUUGAGGUGGUUGUAUCUGUGGGAUGUACUGAGCUGUCAGGCUCUUCCGUUGGUGGUUCAUUCAGGUGGUUGUAUCAGUAAGAAGCUGCAUGUAUUGCUUAUGCUGUCCAUCUUUGUGACUGGACAUGAGCACACAUUUGGGUGGACAGUCAUUCCCACCUGAUUUAUUGCGGUUCUGCUUUUUGUCUAGUUUGCUUGACUCAAUGCUGCAGUUUUCUGAUAGGGGACUUAAACAAAGUGUAAAAGCAUCAUUGAUGGGCUUGGCCUCUGAACAUGGGUUCUGACAAUCCAGGAAAAUAACCUUGUUUACAGGGCUCUGGGCAGGCUGUGUGGGUGACUGAGAAACCUGCCCUGCAGCAUGCAGAGACCUUUCCUUGGAUACCUGCAGCUGGGAAUAUAGGCUCAGUGACUGAGAAUGCGCAGUAGGCUUCUCGGUGCUCCUCCAGUCUCCACAUUGAUUAAUGAUGUUAAUUGUUGAUAAUGCCACUGAAAAGAAUGAUGAUAAUGAAUACAAUUAUGAGAGCUGAAAAGCUGCCAAGUCGAGGCACUGCAGUGCCUCCUUCAGACUAAAUGCAUCCCUGCAGAAUGUGUAUCUAUAUCUGUAGGGUUUUGAUUACGCUGCCUGGCAUCCUGCGUAUCUCAUUCUCUAGGGAGAAAAAUGUAUUGUGGCUCCAGAUUUUGCUGUUUCAGUUUUGCAGUUGAUAAUAACCAGUGUAGAUCAAUGAACGAGCUCGGUUCUAACUGUACUGAGAACACACUGUAGAAGCUGCAGCAGCCCCAUUCCCAUUGGCUACAAAACUACAUCUGACCAGCGCAGAUUAGAAUAGCAAAUAUUUGGCGCCCAAGCGCUGUAUAUUUUGUCAGCCCUUUUGGAUUUUGUCAGAUUUGUGAUGAAAGAUGCGUGGACUUUUUUUUUGGCUAGGAAUUGUUUGCUGUGUACUUUUAAGCUAAAAUAGAACUUUACGGAUUUCCAGCAGGGGAUUUUUGUUGUCCAGAUGCAUUACAAAGAUAAAUCCCAAUAUAAGAGUCAGUGGAAGUAAAUGAAUAAAUUGAAACAAAUGACAUUGAAAUAAAGUUACGUUAUGGGCAUGUCACAUACAGACUGUACAGUCAUUUGGAUGAUAAAUGUGCAUAGAUCUGUGCACAAUUCAUAUGGUCACAGAUGAAUUAGUGCCAAAUUCAGAGUAAGUAUGCAGUAUUGCUGUUGUUCCACUUGGGAAGUAACUGAGAGUAACUGAGAGUAAGUGAAAUUUCCUGGAAGACUAAAUUACUUUGCUUUAUUGAUCUGUUUGCUCAUCUGGGAAUCUGCCUACCGAUGCCUUUUUAUUUCUCUGUGGAAGCCGUUACAUAAAUGCAUAAAGGCAGAUGAAAAAGGCAAUUAAUAGGUGGAAAGGAUAUAGAAGUGUUUCAUGAAAUGGUGCCUGAGAGCCUGGCCGGCAGAAUUAGGGAAACACAGGAGAAGAUGUCGUAUAUAGUGAAAUAAUCUUCCCGUAAAACUGGGUCAGAGGAAUAGGAGAAAAAAUACUUCUGUGCAGAUUAAGGAAAGCGUGCAUUGUAGCCUGUGCUGAAGAUACGAACGGAGAAGCUCAGUGCCCCAACUGGGGCUUUGUAGGUACUGCGUGUUCCCCAUGUUCGGAAACGUGGUUGACACUGGUUUGGGUGAUAGGUGUAUGGGCGUUACCGGAUUUUGUUGUGUAUUCUUAAAAUACCAUGAACCACCAAAGAGCUCUCCAGAGAAACAGAUUAAACAUACUCCAUGACAUGUAAUGAGAAUGAACAACCGUGAGAACAUCAUGUUCGCCCAUCGAAUGCCUCAGCCUGAAAGCUUCAAGACUAAAUUAAUAUCUAAUAUAUCUCCAAUUAUGGAGUACUAAAAGCAUUUAAUGGAGUUCGACUUAAUUGGGUUCUUGUUAAUUUCCUCUGUUAAUAGCUGUUUGUGCCAAGACUGAUUAAGGAGCCUAGCUUGCAACUGCAGUGCAGUUAAGCUGCUUUUUAACUCUGGAGUUCAGAGUAUUUGGGUUCUGCGAGGCAAUGUGAACAGCUGCCCUUUGGGGUCUGGGCUUCCUAGCUGCCAGUGAACUGGCAGUGCAGAUAAGCAGUGUGCCGAAAUACUGAGGCCAGUCUGCAGUGAAGAUGACUGAUGUGAUGUGGUCUGGUGUUACCCUCCUAUACAAUCCCUUUGCCCUGGUACGGCCGGCUAUCUGCAUCGAUGCUCAAGCACGGCGUGUGUCUGCCCACGUCGACUCUU